GUGGUCAUGAUGGGGAAGAAGAGCACAUGAAUAACUAACUCAUAUCUCAAGUGCAGAUAAAAAAAAUGAAAAUUUGAGAAUGGUGUACAUGAGUUAGUAAUGCACGUGCCCUGCUUCUCCAUCAAGCUCAACACUCAUCUUCUCAAUCCACA
This 152-nucleotide microRNA precursor is filed under the name Rehmannia glutinosa. Its description in RNAcentral is "miR164 stem-loop (rgl-MIR164)". Its record names the gene rgl-MIR164. Lineage: Eukaryota; Viridiplantae; Streptophyta; Magnoliopsida; Lamiales; Orobanchaceae. The record is from miRBase by way of RNAcentral.